GUUUACGGCCAUGCCACCCUGAAUGUGCCUGAUCUCAUCUGAUCUCAGAAGCUAAGCAGGGACGGGCCUGGUUAGUACCUAGGAAGACCAGGUGCUGUGGGUG
Molecule: ribosomal RNA, 103 nt
Filed under: Pteropus alecto (black flying fox)
Lineage: Eukaryota; Metazoa; Chordata; Mammalia; Chiroptera; Pteropodidae
Also listed under: 1 other name
Source: RNAcentral